RNAcentral lists this ribosomal RNA (253 nucleotides) under uncultured bacterium. Its description in RNAcentral is "partial 16S ribosomal RNA". It matches the Rfam family "Bacterial small subunit ribosomal RNA", at positions 524 to 776 of the family's 1533-position model. The record is from RNAcentral.
UACGAAGGGGGCUAGCGUUGUUCGGAAUUACUGGGCGUAAAGGGCGCGUAGGCGGCCCUCCAAGUCAGAUGUGAAAGCCCCGGGCUUAACCUGGGAACUGCCUUUGAUACUGGUGAGCUUGAGUUCGGGAGAGGUGAGUGGAACUGCGAGUGUAGAGGUGAAAUUCGUAGAUAUUCGCAAGAACACCAGUGGCGAAGGCGGCUCACUGGCCCGAUACUGACGCUGAGGUGCGAAAGCGUGGGGAGCAAACAGG